AGACAUGAAGGCGAUCUGGCCCUGACAUCUGUCACCAGUGAUGGCCAGGGUUGAUUGUGCUGAUAGAACUAAAUAGACUGUUUCUUCUUUAUCCUUCACUGCCCCAUGUGUGUCUUUCCCAAAGCUGUGUAUUCAGUUGAAGAAGAGAAACUUCCUUGGUAGAGAGGAGGGCUGUUCUUUGGUUACAGGUAGCUUCAGUCUUCUGCUAGAAGUUCUAAACAUGCUCUGAUGAAGCAUCACAAGAAGGCCACAUCAUGAGCAGUACAGUGUUUGUUUAUUCAUUUAUUCGCUUAUUUGCAUGAAAGUGAGU
Molecule: non-coding RNA, 310 nt
Organism: Dipodomys ordii (Ord's kangaroo rat)
Lineage: Eukaryota; Metazoa; Chordata; Mammalia; Rodentia; Heteromyidae
Source: Rfam